RNAcentral lists this ribosomal RNA (316 nucleotides) under uncultured eukaryote. RNAcentral describes it as "partial 18S ribosomal RNA". It matches the Rfam family "Eukaryotic small subunit ribosomal RNA", at positions 1470 to 1796 of the family's 1831-position model. The record is from RNAcentral.
CCCUUAGAUGUUCUGGGCCGCACGCGUGCUACACUGACCGGUGCAACAAGUUUCUUUCCUUGGCUCGAUAGGCCUGGGUAAUCUUUGAACACCGGUCGUGAUGGGGAUAGAUCCUUGCAAUUUUUGGUCUUCAACGAGGAAUUCCUAGUAAACGCAAGUCAUCAACUUGCAUUGAUUACGUCCCUGCCCUUUGUACACACCGCCCGUCGCACCUACCGAUUGAAUGGUCCGGUGAAGCCUCCGGAUUGGCGCGCACCUCGGUGCCGCCGAGAAGUUGGCUAAACCUUACCAUUUAGAGGAAGGUGAAGUCGUAACA